GACGAACGCUGACGGCGUGCUUUAGACAUGCAAGUCGAACGCGAAAGCCCUUCGGGGUUAGUAGAGUGGCGAACGGGUGAGUAACACGUGGGCAAUCUGCCCCUCGCAGGGGGACAACCGGAGGAAACUCCGGCUAAUACCCCGUACGCUUGCGGAACCGCAUGGUACCGCAAGGAAAGGUAGCUUCGGCCAUCCGGGCGAGGGAUGAGCCCGCGGUGCAUUAGCUAGUUGGUGGGGUAACGCCCACCAAGGCGACGAUGCAUAGCUGGUCUGAGAGGAUGAUCAGCCACACUGGGACUGAGACACGGCCCAGACUCCUACGGGAGGCAGCAGUCGGGAAUCUUGCGCAAUGGGCGAAAGCCUGACGCAGCAACACCGUGUGAGCGACGAAGGCCU
RNAcentral lists this ribosomal RNA (396 nucleotides) under uncultured bacterium. RNAcentral's name for it is "bacterial SSU rRNA". It matches the Rfam family "Bacterial small subunit ribosomal RNA", at positions 28 to 417 of the family's 1533-position model. The record is from RNAcentral.